RNAcentral lists this ribosomal RNA (119 nucleotides) under Pteropus alecto (black flying fox). Lineage: Eukaryota; Metazoa; Chordata; Mammalia; Chiroptera; Pteropodidae. The record is from RNAcentral.
UGCUACGGCCAUGCUACCCUGAAUGUGCCCGAUCUCGUCUGAUCCCAGAAGUUAAGCAGGUUCAGGCCUGGUUAGUAGUUGAUUGGGAGACCACCUACAAAGACCAGGUGCUAUAGGUG